UACGUAGGCAGCGAGCGUUGUUCGGAAUUACUGGGCGUAAAGAGUGUGUAGGCGGUGCUCUAAGUUCGGUGUGAAAUCUCCCGCUUAACUGGGAGGGUGCGCCGGAAACUGGAGUGCUCGAGCGUGGGAGAGGAAAGCGGAAUUCCUGGUGUAGCGGUGAAAUGCGUAGAUAUCAGGAGGAACACCCGUAGCGAAGGCGGCACUCUGGGCCGAUACUGACACUGAGGAGCGAAAGCGUGGGGAGCGAACAGG
Molecule: ribosomal RNA, 252 nt
Filed under: uncultured bacterium
Lineage: Bacteria
Description: partial 16S ribosomal RNA
Rfam family: Bacterial small subunit ribosomal RNA
Source: RNAcentral